UCUGAUGUGAUCGUCUUCGAGGAGGAGGAGGGCAACCUCUCACGCCAUCGAUGGCUUACUCCAAGUUGGCUUCGACGAGUUUGUGUCUACAAUCAGUGUUCUUGUCGUCCAUCGAGAUCAUCUUAUUUCAUGUUUCAGCUAUCACCGACAAUUUUGCGUGAACAUUAUGUGAUUGAGGGAAGUAUGCCAAUCUAUCUGAGAUGGGUCGGAUGAGAACUGCCCAUCUUACUGUGUGAAAUUUAGCCUUGAUGGAUCAUUUACUUUCCCAAGCAACAACGGAAGAGUUGGAUAUACGAUGCAUAAACGUAAUGAAGGACCUAUUUGCAGGUGCUCUGUUUCUUGUUGACGGUCAUUCUCUGUGUGUGCAAGUGUUGGCCAGAGAAAGAGGGGUGUUUGCCGCUGAACUGUAAUCAGGUGACGAUUUAAUGUGAUUCACAAGUACUUACCAGCAUGUACUCUACGGCUCAAUUGAUGAUGGAUGAACUUAAUUUAUGCUUAAUUGUAGGUUCUCUUUACUUGUUUGGGCAUUAUCCCAGCCAUCUCACCAAUCUUGGAACUCUGUUUCAAUCAUUUUCAGAGAAAAAAAAAUAAAUUUG
This 596-nucleotide long non-coding RNA is filed under the name Musa acuminata (dwarf banana). Its description in RNAcentral is "long non-coding RNA (MACU_LNC004179)". Lineage: Eukaryota; Viridiplantae; Streptophyta; Magnoliopsida; Zingiberales; Musaceae. The record is from RNAcentral.